GACGAACGCUGGCGGCGUGCGUAAUACAUGCAAGUCGAACGCUUCUUUCCUCCCGAGUGCUUGCACUCAAUUGGAAAGAGGAGUGGCGGACGGGUGAGUAACACGUGGGUAACCUACCCAUCAGAGGGGGAUAACACUUGGAAACAGGUGCUAAUACCGCAUAACAGUUUAUGCCGCAUGGCAUAAGAGUGAAAGGCGCUUUCGGGUGUCRCUGAUGGAUGGACCCGCGGUGCAUUAGCUAGUUGGUGAGGUAACGGCUCACCAAGGCCACGAUGCAUAGCCGACCUGAGAGGGUGAUCGGCCACACUGGGACUGAGACACGGCCCAGACUCCUACGGGAGGCAGCAGUAGGGAAUCUUCGGCAAUGGACGAAAGUCUGACCGAGCAACGCCGCGUGAGUGAAGAAGGUUUUCGGAUCGUAAAACUCUGUUGUUAGAGAAGAACAAGGACGUUAGUAACUGAACGUCCCCUGACGGUAUCUAACCAGAAAGCCACGGCUAACUACGUGCCAGCAGCCGCGGUAAUACGUAGGUGGCAAGCGUUGUCCGGAUUUAUUGGGCGUAAAGCGAGCGCAGGCGGUUUCUUAAGUCUGAUGUGAAAGCCCCCGGCUCAACCGGGGAGGGUCAUUGGAAACUGGGAGACUUGAGUGCAGAAGAGGAGAGUGGAAUUCCAUGUGUAGCGGUGAAAUGCGUAGAUAUAUGGAGGAACACCAGUGGCGAAGGCGGCUCUCUGGUCUGUAACUGACGCUGAGCUCGAAAGCGUGGGGAGCAAACAGGAU
This 778-nucleotide ribosomal RNA is filed under the name Enterococcus faecalis. RNAcentral describes it as "bacterial SSU rRNA". It matches the Rfam family "Bacterial small subunit ribosomal RNA", at positions 28 to 778 of the family's 1533-position model. The record is from RNAcentral. Lineage: Bacteria; Bacillati; Bacillota; Bacilli; Lactobacillales; Enterococcaceae.